Long non-coding RNA from Aplysia californica (California sea hare), 265 nucleotides. RefSeq lists it as uncharacterized. The transcript has 3 exons. NCBI's taxonomy places the organism in Eukaryota, Metazoa, Mollusca, Gastropoda, Aplysiida, Aplysiidae. The record is from RefSeq and is a predicted model, not a curated record.
AGGAGGCAACGUUGUUGCUGUUUGGUACACUGUUCAUGGGAGUGGCUCACAUCAUUAUUGGGCCGGCGCCAUUUUUGCUGCCAUAUAUAUCCAGUUCUGUGGGCCUGUCGGUGGGUGCUUUUGCCCUCAUGGCAGUCACUUUCUCCUGCUGCGUUAUGGCAGGAAUGCCCUGCCUCUUCAUUGGAGCCAAAGAUCUGGGACUGAAGGACGACCAAGAUACCAACGGCAUGAUCUCCGGCAUCAUUAACGGAGCAUGCGCACUAGG